UACGGGGGGAGCAAGCGUUGUUCGGAUUUACUGGGCGUAAAGGGCGCGUAGGCGGUCGUGACAAGUCACUUGUGAAAUCUCCGGGCUUAACUCGGAACGGUCAAGUGAUACUGUCGGACUAGAGUACAGAAGGGGCAACUGGAAUUCUCGGUGUAGCGGUGAAAUGCGUAGAUAUCGAGAGGAACACCUGCGGCGAAGGCGGGUUGCUGGGCUGACACUGACGCUGAGGCGCGAAGCCAGGGGAGCGAACGGG
Molecule: ribosomal RNA, 253 nt
Filed under: uncultured bacterium
Lineage: Bacteria
Description: partial 16S ribosomal RNA
Rfam family: Bacterial small subunit ribosomal RNA
Source: RNAcentral